CAAGGCGGGGACACAGAGGCCCCUCUGGUCAAGAGCAGGACGGGGCUUCAGGGGCUGACGGCCUGUCCACCUGGAAAAGCCAGGCACCUGCUCUGGGGCACAGACUUGACCAAGGCAAAGUCCCUCCCCGUCAGAAAACCCAGCCGUGUCCAAGAGACAGGGGACAGGCAGAGACAGUCCCUCGACUCGGCGAGAUGAUGGCUGUGAACUUGACUCUACAGGAGAGAGCACCUCCAGCCCUCAGAAGGCUUUGCCCUCUCUACCCGGCACCCUGGGCAGGCGGUUUCCUCACCCAUGAUGUGGGAGCCAUCACUCCCACCUCCCAGGGUGGCAGUGAGGAGGGGAAACAGAGACCUGAGAGCUCCAGCACCCGGCCUGGCACGUAGUGGGUGCACAGGAAACGCUGAGGGUGUUGUGCUGUCCACACCUGUGGCCCCCAGGACCCACAACCCAGGACUGGGCAGUGCUGAGCCAUGGCGACUGGCUUUGCCAUUCACCACAUCAAAGCCUUUGUUAAAACUUGGUUAGGGUCUAUUAAUUGCACACACUGA
This is a long non-coding RNA of Marmota monax (woodchuck), 551 nucleotides long. RefSeq lists it as uncharacterized. The transcript is spliced from 2 exons. Lineage: Eukaryota; Metazoa; Chordata; Mammalia; Rodentia; Sciuridae. The record is from RefSeq and is a predicted model, not a curated record.